This 478-nucleotide ribosomal RNA is filed under the name uncultured bacterium. RNAcentral describes it as "partial 16S ribosomal RNA". It matches the Rfam family "Bacterial small subunit ribosomal RNA", at positions 28 to 523 of the family's 1533-position model. The record is from RNAcentral.
GACGAACGCUGGCGGCGUGCUUAACACAUGCAAGUCGAACGGUAAGGCCCUUCGGGGUACACGAGUGGCGAACGGGUGAGUAACACGUGGGUGAUCUGCCCUGCACUUCGGGAUAAGCCUGGGAAACUGGGUCUAAUACCGGAUAGGACCACUGCCUGCAUGGGUGGUGGUGGAAAGCUUUUGCGGUGUGGGAUGGGCCCGCGGCCUAUCAGCUUGUUGGUGGGGUGAUGGCCUACCAAGGCGACGACGGGUAGCCGGCCUGAGAGGGUGACCGGCAACACUGGGACUGAGAUACGGCCCAGACUCCUACGGGAGGCAGCAGUGGGGAAUAUUGCACGAUGGGCGCAAGCCUGAUUCAGCGACGCCGCGUGAGGGAUGACGGCCUUCGGGUUGUAAACCUCUUUCAGCACCGACGAAGCGCAAGUGACGGUAGGUGCAGAAGAAGGACCGGCCAACUACGUGCCAGCAGCCGCCGUAA